RNAcentral lists this ribosomal RNA (433 nucleotides) under uncultured bacterium. RNAcentral describes it as "partial 16S ribosomal RNA". It matches the Rfam family "Bacterial small subunit ribosomal RNA", at positions 29 to 507 of the family's 1533-position model. The record is from RNAcentral.
AACGAACGCUGGCGGCAUGCCUAACACAUGCAAGUCGAACGAGACCUUCGGGUCUAGUGGCGCACGGGUGCGUAACGCGUGGGAACCUGCCCUUAGGUUCGGAACAACUCCCCGAAAGGGGUGCUAAUACCGGAUAAUGUCUUCGGACCAAAGAUUUAUCGCCUUUGGAUGGGCCCGCGUUGGAUUAGCUAGUUGGUAGGGUAAAAGCCUACCAAGGCGACGAUCCAUAGCUGGUCUGAGAGGAUGAUCAGCCACACUGGGACUGAGACACGGCCCAGACUCCUACGGGAGGCAGCAGUGGGGAAUAUUGGACAAUGGGCGAAAGCCUGAUCCAGCAAUGCCGCGUGAGUGAUGAAGGCCUUAGGGUUGUAAAGCUCUUUUACCCGGGAUGAUAAUGGCAGUACCGGGAGAAUAAGCUCCGGCUAACUCCGUG